AGGAUAAUUUAAUACCAAUAAUUUUUAUGAGCCCCACUUUCGUAUCAAGCAAUUCUAUAUAGUUAUAGAAAUUUUUAUGUUAAAACUAGUAACAAGAAGAAAACCUUCUCCUAAUGCAAGCGUAAAUCAGGAAGGAUAUACCACUGAUAAUUAACAUCCCUGAACCCACAGUAGCAACCACACAAGAAAACUCUACCACAUUCUAUGUUAACCUAACACAAGAGCAUUACAGGAAAGAUUAAAAGAGAAAGAAGGAACUCGGCAAACUUUAACCCCGCCUGUUUACCAAAAACAUCGCCUCUUGACCAAUUAUAAGAGGUCCAGCCUGCCCAGUGACUCUGUUCAACGGCCGCGGUAUCCUAACCGUGCGAAGGUAGCGUAAUCACUUGUUCUUUAAAUGAGGACUAGUAUGAAUGGCACCACGAAGGUUAUACUGUCUCCUUUCUUUAAUCAGUGAAACUAAUCUCCCCGUGAAGAAGCGGGGAUAAAUAUAUAAGACGAGAAGACCCUAUGGAGCUUUAAACAAGUAACAACUGCCUUAUUAAUCUCUUAAUCUCAGGAGAUUUACCCCUUAUUCAGGCAUUUUGAUUACAAGUUUUAGGUUGGGGUGACCGCGGAGCAUAAAAUAACCUCCACAGUGAACGGGACUCAUUCCCUAAACCAAGGGCUACAACCCUAAGCAUCAAUAAAUUGACACCUAUUGACCCAAUAUUUUGAUCAAUGAACCAAGUUACCCUAGGGAUAACAGCGCAAUCCACUUCAAGAGCCCCUAUCGACAAGUGGGUUUACGGCCUCGAUGUUGGAUCAGGGU
Molecule: ribosomal RNA, 811 nt
Filed under: Leptodactylus bolivianus (Bolivian white-lipped frog)
Lineage: Eukaryota; Metazoa; Chordata; Amphibia; Anura; Leptodactylidae
Description: partial 16S ribosomal RNA
Rfam family: Bacterial large subunit ribosomal RNA
Source: RNAcentral